Gavialis gangeticus (Gharial) is the source of this 156-nucleotide long non-coding RNA. RefSeq lists it as uncharacterized. Lineage: Eukaryota; Metazoa; Chordata; Crocodylia; Gavialidae. The transcript has 2 exons. The record is from RefSeq and is a predicted model, not a curated record.
GGUGGCUACAAUUUGGGGGAGAGAAGAGGACAGUGUCUAAUGCUCAGGGGUACCAAGCAUCAAAUAAAAGCUCACACUAAAAAAAAAAAAUCAACAAGGGGGCUUGGCCACAGCACUGUUCCUUCACCAUGGACCAGCCCAGGCCAUCAGAACACU